This 457-nucleotide ribosomal RNA is filed under the name Davidiellaceae sp. FL-2010c. Its description in RNAcentral is "eukaryotic LSU rRNA". The stretch from base 101 to 254 matches the Rfam family "5.8S ribosomal RNA". Lineage: Eukaryota; Fungi; Ascomycota; Dothideomycetes; Cladosporiales; Cladosporiaceae. The record is from RNAcentral.
UUGCCUCCGGGGCGACCCUGCCUUCGGGCGGGGGCUCCGGGUGGACACUUCAAACUCUUGCGUAACUUUGCAGUCUGAGUAAACUUAAUUAAUAAAUUAAAACUUUUAACAACGGAUCUCUUGGUUCUGGCAUCGAUGAAGAACGCAGCGAAAUGCGAUAAGUAAUGUGAAUUGCAGAAUUCAGUGAAUCAUCGAAUCUUUGAACGCACAUUGCGCCCCCUGGUAUUCCGGGGGGCAUGCCUGUUCGAGCGUCAUUUCACCACUCAAGCCUCGCUUGGUAUUGGGCAACGCGGUCCGCCGCGUGCCUCAAAUCGACCGGCUGGGUCUUCUGUCCCCUAAGCGUUGUGGAAACUAUUCGCUAAAGGGUGUUCGGGAGGCUACGCCGUAAAACAACCCCAUUUCUAAGGUUGACCUCGGAUCAGGUAGGGAUACCCGCUGAACUUAAGCAUAUCAAUAA